This 451-nucleotide ribosomal RNA is filed under the name uncultured bacterium. RNAcentral describes it as "partial 16S ribosomal RNA". It matches the Rfam family "Bacterial small subunit ribosomal RNA", at positions 28 to 507 of the family's 1533-position model. The record is from RNAcentral.
AGCGAACGCUGGCGGCAUGCCUAACACAUGCAAGUCGCACGGGGGGGCUUCGGCCUCCCAGUGGCGGACGGGUGAGGAACGCGUAGGGACCUGUCGAGGGGUGGGGGAUAACCGCGGGAAACUGCGGCUAAUACCGCAUGACGCCGCGGCGUGACAGCCGGGGCCAAAGGCGAAAGCCGCCCGCCGAGGGGCCUGCGUCCGAUUAGCUGGUUGGCGGGGUAGCGGCCCACCAAGGCGUCGAUCGGUAGCUGGUCUGAGAGGGUGAUCAACCACACCGGGACUGAGACACGGCCCGGACGCCUACGGGAGGCAGCAGUGGGGAAUAGUGGACAAUGGGCGCAAGCCUGAUCCAGCAAUGCCGCGUGGGUGAAGAAGGUCUUCGGAUUGUAAAGCCCUUUCGGCGGGGACGAUGGUGACGGUACCCGCAGAAGAAGCCCCGGCUAACUUCGUG